GCCGAUGUCAGAUUAGCUAGUUGGUGGGGUAAAGGCCUACCAAGGCGACGAUCUGUAGCGGGUCUGAGAGGAUGAUCCGCCACACUGGGACUGAGACACGGCCCAGACUCCUACGGGAGGCAGCAGUGGGGAAUUUUGGACAAUGGGCGCAAGCCUGAUCCAGCCAUGCCGCGUGCGGGACGAAGGCCUUCGGGUUGUAAACCGCUUUCAGCCGGAAAGAAAUCGCCAAGGCUAAUAUCCUUGGUGGAUGACGGUACCGGAAGAAGAAGCACCGGCUAACUACGUGCCAGCAGCCGCGGUAAUACGUAGGGUGCGAGCGUUAAUCGGAAUUUACUGGGCGUAAAGGGUGCGCAGGCGGUUUUGCAAGCCAGACGUGAAAUCCCCGGGCUUAACCUGGGAACUGCGUUUGAAACUACAAAGCUAGA
RNAcentral lists this ribosomal RNA (425 nucleotides) under uncultured bacterium. RNAcentral describes it as "bacterial SSU rRNA". It matches the Rfam family "Bacterial small subunit ribosomal RNA", at positions 229 to 645 of the family's 1533-position model. The record is from RNAcentral.